UACGUAGGGGGCGAGCGUUGUCCGGAUUUAUUGGGCGUAAAGAGCGUGUAGGCGGCUAUUUAAGUCCUGCGUGAAAUCCUGCGGCUCAACCGCAGACGGUCGUGGGAAACUGGAUGGCUAGAGUGCGGGAGAGGAGAGUGGAAUUCCCGGUGUAGCGGUGAAAUGCGCAGAUAUCAGGAAGAACACCCGUGGCGAAGGCGGCUCUCUGGGACGGUACUGACGCUGAGACGCGAAAGCGUGGGGAGCGAACAGG
Molecule: ribosomal RNA, 253 nt
Filed under: uncultured bacterium
Lineage: Bacteria
Description: partial 16S ribosomal RNA
Rfam family: Bacterial small subunit ribosomal RNA
Source: RNAcentral